RNAcentral lists this long non-coding RNA (1770 nucleotides) under Hordeum vulgare. Its description in RNAcentral is "long non-coding RNA (HVUL_LNC008305)". The record is from RNAcentral. Lineage: Eukaryota; Viridiplantae; Streptophyta; Magnoliopsida; Poales; Poaceae.
AGUGCACCGACGGCAGACGGAACAAGAGGCGGAUACAUGCAUAUGGCCGACGUUGAGAACCCUAACCCCGGAGGCGGCGGCACCGACCUAGCCGUGGCGGCGGAGCCUGAUAACAUAAGCAAGAUCUGGCAACCAUGUGAAGCCCUGUUUAACUGCCUUAUCAUCGUCGUCUCGGUCACCCUCCUGGUGCUCCUCUUCUCUUCCGGCUCUCCUGAUAUCUUCUGGCUCGUCGUGGGGGUACUGGGCCUCGUCUACGGAGCCUGCAGCUGCGCCUUCAGCAUCGACAACACGUGCAUUCGUGGGAACACGCAGGGGAUCGAUCAAUCCCAGAUAUGGCGUUAUGUGUGCACGUAGAGCUGUUGUAAGUUAUUAAGUCUUUUUUUUAGCUCUGGACUAUACUAGUUAGUAGGUUUAAUUCUUGCACUUGAUUGACAAAUUUUGCCUAAUUAAGAAGAUACAGAAGGGAAUUCAUACUAGUAAUAUAUUGUCUCUUUGUUAUUCAUUUGUCUUUACAGCUCAUAAUUAUAAUCUGGUUUUCAUACAACUCAUACAUCGUUUCGUAGCAUGAUGGCUGGUGAUGCCUAUGUUUGGGAAACCAAAAUGUAAAGAAAAGUUGCCAAAACAUGCAAAAGUAAUUGGAAAAAGCUAUCCUUCAACCGGCUGAUGCACGCACAGUGUCCGUCAUCUGUGUAUCCAUCAGAUUGAUCUUGAUCAAGCGCUCGCGCUAGCCACAUGUUUCACGCAGUCGUUUUCCUUUUUGCAACAAGUGUAUUGUUUCAAUAGGUUUCUUCAACAAAGGUUGUGUUUCAGAAGAAAAAAAAAGGAUUCAAUGGUGUUUCUUUUCUCCAGCAAGAAGAUCUAAUUUCAGGUUUCUACAACAGAGGUCCUGUUUUAGAAAGAAGAAGAAAAUGGUUCGACGAUGGAUAUUUUUUCUUCUGCAGCAGGGGUCUUGCUUCAGAAACAUAGCCCCGAGGAGCGCUCAGUGCUAGAGCAUACGAGGACAAGCAUUUGCAACACAACACAUGUUUCAGAAACAUAGGUUCGGUUGCAGAAAUCACCAGAAGAGUGCCCUACGUGAGAGCGCCUCGUCGUUAUGCUGGCAACUACUCGAGUGUCGGGUUAGAGGAAGUGCAGCAACUCUGGAGGCCGACGGUCCUCCAUGGCCGAGGCGCUCAGGCCAUGGCGGGGCAGCGGCGCUGUCUCGAUGGACCUUUGCAAGAAGAUCCUUGUUGCAAAGCCCCUGAGCGCAACAAGCUAGCUGUUGCAAACGUCCUCGGUUGCCUGGAGCGGUAGAUCGGAUGACUGUUUUGGGUGGCAUCCGACGAUUGCUGAGGCGGCCGAUCUAAUCGGUUUAUCAUCCGACGGAUGCGUAGCAUUGUCCAAAGUAAAUUCACAGUAAUCUAUUGUCUCUUAUUCAUUUGUCUUUCUUUCCAACCGAUAAUAAUAAGCAGGUUUCAUGGAAGCACGGAAGAGGAGGAGGAUGGGAAGACGGUCGCAGAUGAAAGUGAAAUUGAGCAGUUGGCUGUGCACAGAUCUAAGGUGUCGUAGCAAGCCAAAUUGAGUGAACAACAGUAGUCAUUAUGUUUAUCUAGGCAGCAUCUUGGGAUGGGUUGACUCUUGAUAUACGCAAGUUGAACCUCCUUGUCCGCCUCUAUGCAUCUGCCUAUAGAAUUUUUGACACAUGUAGACGAUUUACAUUCAUGAUUAAUCAAUGAAUGAUGUAAAAAAGACAUGGAAAUAUUUAAGAACGGAUAUUGAAGAAUAUACGAG